CCUGACAUUGCAUGAAUGCACGUAGGGUUUCAAGCCCAACGCAGACGGACCCAGAUGUGGCUUUGCUGCCGCCAUUCGACUUCUGGCAGCCGGAAGCUUUUGGCGGAAGAAGGAGCGCUCGGCACCUGGCAGCAGCGCCUCCUUCUCUACCCAGCAGAGCGUUUUCCUUUCCGUCCUGCAGAUUCAACCCAGACACCACGCUGCUGGAGGCCGUUCCACGAUGCUGGGCCCGCUGGAGGGAAGGGGAGACGCGGGGGGAGAACGGAGAACAGAAGGAGACAAGAACUGGGCAGAAUGUCAGACCCUCCUUGAGGUGUGGACGGGUGUGCGUUGCAUUGGACUGCGCAGAAGACUCCAGUCCGUGUCCUGUCAAGAGACCUGCGAAUUGUGAUUUUAAGAAAGUUUACCUUGUUCGCAUGUUCCGAUCUAUUGCUUCUUGGCAGCUGCUCGGAAAUGGCAGCGACCCAACGGAAACCUCAGGCAUGCAGGCUGGGGAGGUGAGGGGAGGAGCCCGGGACAGGCGCUGCAGGAUUAACCCCUGUCACCUGCAGUCAGAUGUCUCACCUGCUGCCCUGCAACGGAGACGCAUGCAAAUCAGGGAAAGUCCAUGUUGGAACUGACUCUGGGGUCAGACGCCGCCCCUCCCCUGCCUCAGGACAACCGCAUGACCUGUGACACCAGUGCUCCUCUUCUGGAAUACAGAUAAUUGCAGUACCAUGACAAUAAGCUGUAUGUCCACUCCCAAAGAAACCAUCUGUGAAUCUCUGAUGAGCGUCUCCUGUGAGGCAAUGUAAAGCAUUCAGAACCUUCGAGUGACAUCAUGAUCUGCAUUGGAAAAAUUGUAAAGACGAGUGAUAAAAUACAACAUCAGAGAACUAUUCCCGACAAUCACCAUCUUACUUAUUAUUUUGCAUACAAACGGUCAGAAUAAUUUAUUAGGCCAACAGUUCAUUCGUUCAGAACAUGUGACUGGAAAAAUUGGAAUAUGUAUGAGACUGGAAUUAAUAUACUGUCAAUGGCAGCAUCAUCAGCAAGGUGAAGUGACAGCUAUAAAUAAAUUAAUAAAGUAAAAAAAAACUUAACCGAAAGAAAGAUGCACACAUCAUUUUUGUCCUGUGUUUUUGAAUUUGACUUUGAUAGAUUGGAGCGCUUUAUUAUGAUAGGAUGCAGCAUGUAUGUUACACAAGUACACCCUCCAGGUGAGGGCCAGAUGGAUCUUCCCUCUCUCUCUCUCUCGCUCCGUCUCUGUCUCUCUACCUCUCUGGCUCCAGGCUUGAUUACACUCACCACAUAGUGGCCCGGUUGGAGACAAAACAAAGCAAGUGGAAGUACUGAGGGCCUUAGAUGGAACUAUUUAAUACAGUUUUUCCCUUGUGUGUGUGUGUGUGUUCCACACACAGCUCAGCCCCAACAAACACAUGCAAGAUGUUAGCUGUGCUGGAAUAGACUGCAAACAUCUUAGACUCAUACACUUAAUGGCCAUCAGUGGCAUUUUCCACAAGGCAACUGUAUCUUUUUGCAAUUAUCAUUUUUUUAAACCAAUUCUUUGCUGCUGCAUUUCCUCCAUGUUCUCUAAAUUAUUAAUUUCAAUAAUAUUAUUGCACAAAAUGUUACAGUCUGCCAAUGAGAAGAUGCAGCACCUCAAAGCAUCUUAUAAAGCAAGGACAAUGAGCUUACCCUACUGUAAAAUAAGUACGUCACCAAUAUGGAUAAAUCAAUUUGUAAUGUUGCCAAAAAAGUGCAUGUUGAAAACAAUUUCACCAGCCAACCAAUGUUUAUCAUCAAG
This is a long non-coding RNA of Gasterosteus aculeatus aculeatus (three-spined stickleback), 1786 nucleotides long. NCBI's taxonomy places the organism in Eukaryota, Metazoa, Chordata, Actinopteri, Perciformes, Gasterosteidae. The record is from Ensembl.